Chiroxiphia lanceolata (lance-tailed manakin) is the source of this 233-nucleotide long non-coding RNA. RefSeq lists it as uncharacterized. NCBI's taxonomy places the organism in Eukaryota, Metazoa, Chordata, Aves, Passeriformes, Pipridae. The transcript has 3 exons. The record is from RefSeq and is a predicted model, not a curated record.
GAAGCUGACCAGGGGCAGCUGAAAACUGACUUAGAGGAAUGAAGAUUCCAAGAUACAUACGUUGAUAAGCUACACUGCAGCAGCCUACGAACCGAGGUAUGACACCGAGAGGGAGAAUUCACACAGCAGCAGAAGAGCAAGGACUCAAAGCUACUUUCUUGGACUUCGUGAGGAGAGAGACUGCAACAAGCAGCUGGAGCUUGGUGAGGGGGGAGCAGCCUCCUUCCUCCUGA